This 253-nucleotide ribosomal RNA is filed under the name uncultured bacterium. Its description in RNAcentral is "partial 16S ribosomal RNA". It matches the Rfam family "Bacterial small subunit ribosomal RNA", at positions 524 to 776 of the family's 1533-position model. The record is from RNAcentral.
UACGUAGGGGCCGAGCGUUGUCCGGAGUUACUGGGCGUAAAGCGCGCGCAGGCGGCUCGUCAAGCCUGACGUGAAAGCCCCCGGCUCAACCGGGGAGGGUCGUCGGGGACUGGCGGGCUUGAAUCCGGGAGAGGGAUGUGGAAUUCCAGGUGUAGCGGUGAAAUGCGUAGAUAUCUGGAGGAACACCGGUGGCGAAGGCGGCAUCCUGGACCGGUAUUGACGCUGAGGCGCGAAAGCUAGGGGAGCAAACGGG